GUUUCGGUGGUUAUAGCGUAAGGGAAACACCCGGUCCCAUUCCGAACCCGGUCGUUAAGCCUUACCACGCUGAUGGUACUGCCAGAGGGAUCUGGUGGGAGAGUAGGACACUGCCGGACU
Molecule: ribosomal RNA, 120 nt
Filed under: Cutibacterium granulosum
Lineage: Bacteria; Bacillati; Actinomycetota; Actinomycetes; Propionibacteriales; Propionibacteriaceae
Source: RNAcentral